This 508-nucleotide long non-coding RNA is filed under the name Equus caballus (horse). RNAcentral's name for it is "lncRNA (ENSECAG00000056059.1)". The record is from RNAcentral. Lineage: Eukaryota; Metazoa; Chordata; Mammalia; Perissodactyla; Equidae.
UGUGGAACCAGGAAGUGGUAACUCCUUGAACCUCAUCACUCCUUCACACCUUCCGUGUGACUCAUUUUGAUGAAAUUCAACGAACUCCGAGCACCUGCUCACGGAGUAGAGUCUUUUUUAGCUAGAAAGCUCCACAGCUCCCCUCCCCCAAGAUUCGGGAACCCAGGCCAUGAAGAGGCUCAGCAGAGUGACCAGUGGACCUCAGGGGACAGUGCCCCUUCCCGGCUACCCCUGACUGUGCCAGUGCCCUCAUCCCUUUGCUGGGUGCAGUGGGGACUGGCCUUCCAGGGGCUCACAGGUUCUGUGAUCAGAAGAGCCUGGAGGAAAAAAAAAAAGAAGACCCUGGAGAGUUUGGGGAAUCAGCUCCCUCCUCAGAAUGAGCUAGAUGUGUUAUACCUGUUGCUUGAGCUGACACAGUCACGUGCUGGGUGAUUCAGAUCAGAAAACCUCAGCAGCAGGCCCAGGUUCUGCAUCCCUCAGUCUAGACCUCUAGAAAACCCUGUGCUUG